AUUGAACGCUGGCGGCAGGCCUAACACAUGCAAGUCGAGCGGAUGAAGGGAGCUUGCUCCUGGAUUCAGCGGCGGACGGGUGAGUAAUGCCUAGGAAUCUGCCUGGUAGUGGGGGAUAACGUCCGGAAACGGGCGCUAAUACCGCAUACGUCCUGAGGGAGAAAGUGGGGGAUCUUCGGACCUCACGCUAUCAGAUGAGCCUAGGUCGGAUUAGCUAGUUGGUGGGGUAAAGGCCUACCAAGGCGACGAUCCGUAACUGGUCUGAGAGGAUGAUCAGUCACACUGGAACUGAGACACGGUCCAGACUCCUACGGGAGGCAGCAGUGGGGAAUAUUGGACAAUGGGCGAAAGCCUGAUCCAGCCAUGCCGCGUGUGUGAAGAAGGUCUUCGGAUUGUAAAGCACUUUAAGUUGGGAGGAAGGGCAGUA
Molecule: ribosomal RNA, 427 nt
Filed under: Pseudomonas aeruginosa
Lineage: Bacteria; Pseudomonadati; Pseudomonadota; Gammaproteobacteria; Pseudomonadales; Pseudomonadaceae
Description: bacterial SSU rRNA
Rfam family: Bacterial small subunit ribosomal RNA
Source: RNAcentral